This 254-nucleotide ribosomal RNA is filed under the name uncultured bacterium. Its description in RNAcentral is "partial 16S ribosomal RNA". It matches the Rfam family "Bacterial small subunit ribosomal RNA", at positions 524 to 776 of the family's 1533-position model. The record is from RNAcentral.
UACGUAGGGGGCGAGCGUUGUCCGAAGUUACUGGGCGUAAAGCGCGCGUAGGCGGGUUGUUAAGUGAGAAGUGAAAGGCUGAGGCUCAACCUCAUGCAGUGCUUCUCAUACUGGCAGUCUUGAGGGAGGCAGAGAGAAGUGGAAUGGCUGGUGUAGCGGUGAAAUGCGUAGAUAUCAGUCGGAACACCCGUGGCGAAGGCGGCUUCUUGGGCCUUUCCUGACGCUGAGGCGCGAAAGCCAGGGGAGCGAACGGG